This 445-nucleotide ribosomal RNA is filed under the name uncultured bacterium. RNAcentral describes it as "bacterial SSU rRNA". It matches the Rfam family "Bacterial small subunit ribosomal RNA", at positions 354 to 796 of the family's 1533-position model. The record is from RNAcentral.
GUAGGGAAUAUUGGGCAAUGGAGGCAACUCUGACCCAGCCAUGCCGCGUGCAGGAAGACGGUCCUCUGGAUUGUAAACUGCUUUUGAAUGGGAAGAAACGUAGCUUUGCGAAGCUAUUUGACGGUACUAUUAGAAUAAGCACCGGCUAACUCCGUGCCAGCAGCCGCGGUAAUACGGAGGGUGCAAGCGUUAUCCGGAUUUAUUGGGUUUUAAGGGUGCGUAGGCGGCUUUAUAAGUCUGGGGUUAAAGGCGGCAGCUUAACUGUACUCAUGCCCUGGAAACUGUGAAGCUUGAGUGACUUGGAGGUAGCUAGAAUGCCCUGUGUAGCGGUGAAAUUCAUAGAUACGGGGAGGAAUACCGAUUGCGAAGGCAUGUUACUACGAGUAAACUGACGCUGAUGCACGAAAGCGUGGGGAUCAAACAGGAUUAGAUACCCGGGUAGUCC